CCUGGACAAGAACCAUCAGCAAUGGCAAAUGAGAGUGUCCUAAUGUGAUCAGCAACAACCCUGUAGGCCAUAUCAACCUUGUCUACAUCAUCAAGACCAACUUUUCCAGAAUAAGGUCGUGCCCCUGUUGCCAGCUGGAUAGCAUCAAAGAUGGGCACGAACACAUCAGUAUCAUAAUUGCUCAUCUUGUUCUGAAGUACAGAAGUCAAUCUCUCAAAACCCAUUCCUGUGUCAACAUGCUUAGCAGGAAGAGAUUUCAAGGAGCCAUCACUUUCCCUAUUGAACUGAAUAAAGACGAGGUUCCAUAUCUCGAUGCAUGUAGGAUCAUCAUUAUUAACCAAUAGUGCUGCAUCACGAUUACCAACUCUAUCAUAAUGUAUUUCGGUACAAGGGCCACAAGGACCAGUAUCACCCAUCUCCCAAAAAUUAUCUUUACAGCCAAAUGGUAGCACACGUCCAGGUGGCAGAAAUUGAAGCCAUAUAUCUCUUGCUUCAGUAUCAGGAGCAAGACCAGCUUUCUCAUCACCACCAAAAUAGGUAGCAUAGAACCGAUCAGCAGGCAACUUAUACACCUUAGUUAAAAGCUCCCAGGCCCACUCAAUCGCCUCUUUCUUGAAAUAAGCACCAAAUGACCAAUUUCCCAACAUCUCAAAGAAAGUAUGGUGGUAAGUGUCCUUCCCCACAUCAUCAAGAUCAUUAUGUUUACCCCCUGCACGAAUGCACUUUUGGGUAUUGCAUGCACGAGUUAGCUUACUCAAAGCGGUGUUGGGGUCAGCAGUUCCCAAAAAAAUUGGCUUGAAUUGGUUCAUGCCAGCAUUAGCAAAGAGGAGAGUGGGAUCAUUGAGAGGAACGACAGGACUCGAUUUCCAAUGAACGUGAUUUUUAUCCUCAAAGAACUUGAUGAAAGUAUCUCUGACUUUCUUCGCUGGCCACUCGGGCUCCUUUGGAUCUAAGCCCGGCAUGACUGGAAUUCGAGAAGAUGGAGAAGAAGAAGAAGAAGAUGAGAAGGAAGUUCGCAUCUUAGGGUACUCCAUGUGCUUUAAGCGGCGAAGAGAGAGCGAAUCAUCAUCGAUUUCGUCGAAAAGAACGGCAACAUCGGGUGAAUUGGACCUUGAAGAGCGGAGAAAGUCGGUGAAGUCAUGGGGUAACCAGCCGCUUUGUAUGUCGGAUCCUGAGAUAUUUGAUAUGAUGGAGAAGGAAAGAGAGAGGCAAUAUAAGGGUCUUGAAUUGAUAGCUUCGGAGAAUUUUGUUUGUCGAGCAGUAAUGGAGGCUCUGGGAAGUCAUUUAACGAACAAGUACUCGGAAGGAAUGCCUGGGUCGCGAUACUACUGUGGGAAUCAGUACAUAGAUGAAAUAGAAACGCUGUGUUGGAAGCGAGCCUUGAAUGCUUUUGGUUUGGAUUCAGAGAAAUGGGGAGUCAAUGUGCAGCCUUAUUCGUGUACCUCUGCAAAUUUCGCAGUUUAUACGGGUUUGUUGCUGCCCGGAGAUAGGAUAAUGGGGUUGGAUAAUCCUUCCGGAGGGAAUACCAGCCACGGUUAUUAUAUGCCCAGUGGGAGGAAAGUGUCAAGUGCCUCCAUUUUCUUUGAGAGUUUGCCGUACAAGGUGAAUCCGCAAACUGGGUAUAUCGAUUUUGAUAAGCUGGAGGAGAGGGCACUUGAUUUUAGGCCAAAAAUACUUAUUUGUGGCGGGAGCUCGUAUCCAAGGGAGUGGGAUUAUGCUAGGUUUAGGCAGAUUGCCGAUAGGUGUGGUGCUGUACUUUUGUGUGAUAUGGCUCAGAUUAGUGGUCUUGUUGCUGCUAAGGAAUGUGUAAAUCCGUUUGAUUACUGUGACAUUGUUACCUCAACAACACAUAAAAGUCUUCGAGGUCCUAGGGGAGGUAUAAUUUUUUUUAGGAAGGGUGUGAAGCCAAGGAAAAGAGGAAUGCUUGUGGGUCAAGGAGAUGAUAGUGAUCAGUAUGACUUUGAGGAAAAGAUAAACUUUGCUGUCUUUCCAUCAGUACAAGGCGGACCACAUAAUAACCAUAUUGCUGCUCUUGCCAUAGCCUUAAAACAAGUAGCUACUCCUGAGUUCAAGGUGUACAUGCAACAGGUGAAGAAGAAUGCACAGGCUUUAGCCUGUGCUUUGUUGAGAAGAAAAUGCAGGCUAGUAACUGGAGGCACAGACAACCACUUUUUACUUUGGGAUUUAAGGCCUCUGGGAUUAACAGGUGUAGUGCUGUUUUAUAUUGCUGUUCAUGAGACGAUACCUUUUUUUUCUUCUUUUAUGAAGAAAAAAUCUACUGAUUCAAUUUUAUUUGUCCAAAUUUUUUCUUUCUCAUUCUCAAAAGCAUUUAAGAGAUCCAUCAUUUAGAUAAAUUGAGAAAAUCACAAUUAUGUGUCCCUUUUUCUGCUGAUGGCUUGAUUCCUUGAAGUUCAACCAAGCUUUCUCUCUCUUUCGUUUUCUCCCUCUCCUUCCUCUGGUUACCAUGAUACCACUCAACUUAAUCAUUCCAUUUAGCUGGAGCUGGAUGCAUGAACCGUAUUCCUCCAUUCAUCUUUACUGAGGAUGUGUUCUAUUUAAUAUGUUUGAAUCAAGCCAUUUCUUAUAACUUCCAACUUCUUUUGUCCUUUUUCUCCCUUUGUUCUUCCUUUUGUUCAAUUGAUCUGCGUCUGUUGGCUAUAGUCAAACUAUGUUCAUUGACCUUCCCUUCUCUUCAACUUGGGCCUUUUGUUGGAUGUAUGCAUUGUUUUUUGAUAUUUUUGUGUAUUAUCAAGUUCUUGUUUGAGCUGCUCUGACUUCAUGGAGAUGUUGUUUCUCUCCUGGGCAAAAUGUUGUUGCAUAAAGCAAUGUUGGCAUUAUUUCCUUCUACAGAAUAUGGGUAAAUUUGAUUAGAUAUACAAGUGUUCUUUCUUUCCUUCAUAGACAUGACUUAGCCUCUCAAGCUGGAGGUCUUUCUUUUGCUUGCUUACAUUCUGAUUUUUGUCAUAACAAUAAGUUAUGCAUGUAUUUGUGCUUUUGUGUGUGGGAAGCUUUUCUAUUCUGACAUGAAAUUCUGUUUUUGAGUUCACUCAUCAUUCUGCAUCUGUCUGCAUAUUUUCUGCACUGAAUCUAGUGGAACUUAUUUUAUUGCAGCCUAAUGUUUUUAUACAAGAAGGUUUCCCUUGUCUUUCAACAAUUUUAUUUGUUUAUUGGUUUUUUCAGGGAAAACUUAUGAGAAGCUCUGUGAGUUGUGCCACAUCACUGUAAAUAAAAUUGCUAUUUUUGGUGGCAAUGGCACCAUUACUCCUGGAGGAGUAAGGAUUGGUACUCCUGCUAUGACAUCAAGAGGUUGCCUGGAAUCUGAUUUUGAGACAAUUGCUGAUUUUCUCCUAAGAGCUGCGCAGAUUGCUAGUAUGAUGCAGCGUGAGCAUGGAAAGGCUUUCCUAAAGGGUUUGCAGAGCAAUAAGGAAAUUUUGGAGCUCCGGAAUCGUGUUGAAACUUUUGCAACUCAGUUUGCAAUGCCAGGUUUUGACUUGUGAAUAGGUUUUAAGAAUGCAAUUUUCAAAUUCAUACUUGCUGCAUGCCAGGCCUCUUCUGCUCUUUGCAACCAUGUCAAAUGUAAAUCAGUUAGUCGCUUUUAUGCACUGGAUUGGCCUCUAAAACAGCAGUUUUAAGUAGGUCUUUCGAUUGCCUGAUAUAGGAAUUUUGCUCAGUUCAUGGAUGAUGGAAGGAUCUUUCUGGUAUUGACCCUUUCUCAUCAUUCACUUGUGCAUUGUGGAUUUUUUAUCAAAUGGUGGUGGCACUCCUGUGAUAGAUGAGGGUUUUAUAUGGACAAAUUGGGAAAGGGAAAUCUAAACUUAGCAUCUUCUAUUCGAGAAGGUUGUAGCUAUCAAUACAUUAGCAACUUUCUUAAAGAUGGGUGACAAUUUGAAGAUUAAUUGAUUCUCAUUACGGCCUUAUAUUUGAGAGAGCCUAUAGAAUAUAUAUAAAAAUAUUCUUGAUGCAUUGGGAAAUAAAGCCCGGAUUUUUUUUUUAAACGAGCACAAUGUGAGGUCAAUAAUCCUUUUGAUCUAUCUUGGCAUU
RNAcentral lists this unclassified non-coding RNA (4041 nucleotides) under Hevea brasiliensis (rubber tree). The record is from RNAcentral. Lineage: Eukaryota; Viridiplantae; Streptophyta; Magnoliopsida; Malpighiales; Euphorbiaceae.